GUGGGGAAUCUUGCGCAAUGGGCGAAAGCCUGACGCAGCCAUGCCGCGUGAAUGAUGAAGGUCUUAGGAUUGUAAAAUUCUUUCACCGGGGACGAUAAUGACGGUACCCGGAGAAGAAGCUCCGGCUAACUUCGUGCCAGCAGCCGCGGUAAUACGAAGGGGGCUAGCGUUGCUCGGAAUUACUGGGCGUAAAGGGCGCGUAGGCGGACAGCUUAGUCAGAGGUGAAAGCCCAGGGCUCAACCUUGGGAUUGCCUUUGAUACUGGCUGUCUUGAGUUUGGGAGAGGUGAGUGGAACUCCGAGUGUAGAGGUGAAAUUCGUAGAUAUUCGGAAGAACACCAGUGGCGAAGGCGACUCACUGGCCCAAUACUGACGCUGAGGCGCGAAAGCGUGGGGAGCAAACAGGAUUAGAUACCCUAGUAGUCC
Molecule: ribosomal RNA, 425 nt
Filed under: uncultured bacterium
Lineage: Bacteria
Description: partial 16S ribosomal RNA
Rfam family: Bacterial small subunit ribosomal RNA
Source: RNAcentral